This 503-nucleotide ribosomal RNA is filed under the name uncultured bacterium. RNAcentral's name for it is "partial 16S ribosomal RNA". It matches the Rfam family "Bacterial small subunit ribosomal RNA", at positions 30 to 523 of the family's 1533-position model. The record is from RNAcentral.
AUUGAACGCUGGCGGCAGGCUUAACACAUGCAAGUCGAGCGGGGUGAUGGUGCUUGCACUAUCACUUAGCGGCGGACGGGUGAGUAAUGCUUAGGAAUCUGCCUAUUAGUGGGGGACAACAUCUCGAAAGGGAUGCUAAUACCGCAUACGUCCUACGGGAGAAAGCAGGGGAUCACUUGUGACCUUGCGCUAAUAGCUGAGCCUAAGUCGGAUUAGCUAGUUGGUGGGGUAAAGGCCUACCAAGGCGACGAUCUGUAGCGGGUCUGAGAGGAUGAACCGCCACACUGGGACUGAGAAACGGCCCAGACUCCUACGGGAGGCAGCAGUGGGGAAUAUUGGACAAUGGGGGGAACCCUGAUCCAGCCAUGCCGCGUGUGUGAAGAAGGCCUUAUGGUUGUAAAGCACUUUAAGCGAGGAGGAGGCUCUUUUGGUUAAUACCCAAGAUGAGUGGACGUUACUCGCAGAAUAAGCACCGGCUAACUCUGUGCCAGCCGCCGCAGUAA